GUGGCCGUAGAUCAGUGGUAGAUCGGGAGGCUGUGAACCUCUCCACGGGAGUUCGAUUCUCCCCGGUCACCCCA
RNAcentral lists this transfer RNA (74 nucleotides) under Terriglobia bacterium. RNAcentral describes it as "tRNA-His". It matches the Rfam family "tRNA". Rfam says of the family: Transfer RNA (tRNA) molecules are approximately 80 nucleotides in length. Their secondary structure includes four short double-helical elements and three loops (D, anti-codon, and T loops). Further hydrogen bonds mediate the characteristic L-shaped molecular structure. tRNAs have two regions of fundamental functional importance: the anti-codon, which is responsible for specific mRNA codon recognition, and the 3' end, to which the tRNAs corresponding amino acid is attached (by aminoacyl-tRNA synthetases). tRNAs cope with the degeneracy of the genetic code in two manners: having more than one tRNA (with a specific anti-codon) for a particular amino acid; and 'wobble' base-pairing, i.e. permitting non-standard base-pairing at the 3rd anti-codon position. The record is from RNAcentral. Lineage: Bacteria; Pseudomonadati; Acidobacteriota; Terriglobia.